RNAcentral lists this ribosomal RNA (475 nucleotides) under uncultured bacterium. Its description in RNAcentral is "partial 16S ribosomal RNA". It matches the Rfam family "Bacterial small subunit ribosomal RNA", at positions 28 to 507 of the family's 1533-position model. The record is from RNAcentral.
GAUGAACGCUGGCGGCGUGCUUAACACAUGCAAGUCGAACGAUGAACCUCACUUGUGGGGGGAUUAGUGGCGAACGGGUGAGUAACACGUGAGUAACCUGCCCUUGACUCUGGGAUAAGCCUGGGAAACCGGGUCUAAUACUGGAUACGACCUUCUGGCGCAUGCCAUGUUGGUGGAAAGCUUUUGUGGUUUUGGAUGGACUCGCGGCCUAUCAGCUUGUUGGUGGGGUAAUGGCCUACCAAGGCGACGACGGGUAGCCGGCCUGAGAGAGUGACCGGCCACACUGGGACUGAGACACGGCCCAGACUCCUACGGGAGGCAGCAGUGGGGAAUAUUGCACAAUGGGCGCAGGCCUGAUGCAGCGACGCCGCGUGAGGGAUGAAGGCCUUCGGGUUGUAAACCUCUUUCAGUAGGGAAGAAGCCGGCUUUUGGGUUGGUGACGGUACCUGCAGAAGAAGCGCCGGCUAACUACGUG